RNAcentral lists this ribosomal RNA (169 nucleotides) under uncultured bacterium. RNAcentral describes it as "partial 16S ribosomal RNA". The record is from RNAcentral.
AUUACCGCGGCUGCUGGCACGAAGUUAGCCGGGGCUUCUUCUGUAGGUACCGUCAUUAUCUUCCCUACUGAAAGAGCUUUACAACCCUAAGGCCUUCAUCACUCACGCGGCAUGGCUGGAUCAGGCUUUCGCCCAUUGUCCAAUAUUCCCCACUGCUGCCUCCUGUAGG